AAAACACUCUCGGCAACGGUAUCUCGCUCUUGCAUCGAUGAAGAACGUAGCGAACUGCGAUACUUGGUGUGAAUUGCAGAAUCCCGUGAACCAUCGAGUCUUUGAACGCAAGUUGCGCCCAAAGCCAUUAGGCCGAGGGCACGUCUGCCUGGGCGUCACG
Molecule: ribosomal RNA, 160 nt
Filed under: Calolisianthus speciosus
Lineage: Eukaryota; Viridiplantae; Streptophyta; Magnoliopsida; Gentianales; Gentianaceae
Description: 5.8S ribosomal RNA
Rfam family: 5.8S ribosomal RNA
About the family: 5.8S ribosomal RNA (5.8S rRNA) is a component of the large subunit of the eukaryotic ribosome. It is transcribed by RNA polymerase I as part of the 45S precursor that also contains 18S and 28S rRNA.
Source: RNAcentral